CUAGAAGCGUAAAAAUGCAUACACACACUUCGUAUAUAUAGCCCUCGGUCCUCCUAUUCUCUUCAUUGCUUUUUCUAACCUCGCAUGAGCUCUUUCUUAUCUCAUAAUUUUUUCAGUUUCUUUUUGAGUUUUAUGUGAAUUUUGCUCUCUUGUCUCAAAUAUCAUUUUUAUUUUAUCUAUUAUGCGUGUUUCGCUGCUGUGAUGAUGCAAAUUUGUGGACUAGAGUUUCCGAUCUGGGUCUCAAGCCCCAGAAGUUGAAGACUAACCCUUGGCUGUCUGAGCAUAAAUACGUAUGAUCAAUUCCUUAACCUUUUCGUGUAUUAUCUUCUAAAAAUAUCGAAUUUUUGUAUGAUUAUAUCCCAUUUGUAGAUUUUUCAGAUCGGUUUUUAAUGAUUAUCUAUUGGCUUAUGAUGAUAAAUUAAUUAUCUUAGCGGAUUUCAGUGAGAUUUUAUAAAUCAAUGAUCUGAUUGUUACACACACUGAAGCCAAUUAUUAUAUUCUUUUCUCUUUUUUUGUGCAUAAUUCGUGCUAUGAAGAGAUAAAGCACAAACGGUGUUUUUGGGCAGUGGAUUAAGAAGAGCUUAUGAACUCUUCUCCGUGAGCCUAAUUAACUAACGACUUCUCCUUCAUCUGAGCAUAUGAUUCUUAAUUGGAAGUUUUUUGCUUAAAUUCGACUUAAUUUAUACUUACAUAAAAUCAAUAGAUUUGCGUCCAUUACCAAUUCUGGGGGAUAAUUGGUUCCUCUUGGCAUAAUGGCUCGGACGCAAUAAUAAUUGUGGCUAUCCUGAUCAAUGGCGAUUCAAUGCCAUUUUGAUCCUGGAAACACCUCGUACAUUUUUCAUCACCAAUUUGAAGUUUAAUUUAUCAAUUAGGGUUUAUGAGUUAUUGCUUUCUGAGGCGUUGCGUUAACUGGUAUCCCAGUAAACGUGUCAAUGAAAGCAUAAAUUAAAAGUCAUAUCCAAUUAAAAGUUAUAAUUUCAGUAACAAACUGCAUUUUAAUUGCAAUUUGUUCAAUCAUUUGGAAUGUGACAUUUGCUGAUUAAAAGCCCUUUAUAUCUACAUUUGAAUUAUGUGUUGAAGCUUUAAAUGGGCAGUUGCUUCUUAAUGGUGAACUCUUUCUUUAUUGUAACGGGAGAGUUCAAGUUUCCCGAAGCAUAGAUGAAAUUGACAGUUUUAAACAGCUCGAUGUUCUUUAAUCUGUGGCAUUGUGCUACCUGUCUGCUGCUACAUUUUUAUUUCUGGUUAAAAAUGAUUCCUACUUGACUUCGCCAAACUUUGUUUCAGUGGACUAAUUUCUUGACAUCCAGUGACUUCCACAUAUAAUCAUCUAAGGGGCGAGGGGGAAUAUGUUCUAUGGCAAUCUUUAAAUCUAGGACUUUACACCAAAAUCCUAUAUAAUAUCUAAACUAUCACUCUCUUAAACACCAGUGGCAUACGUUAAGUAUUGGAGACAUGAUACAUCAUUUAAUUGAUGAAUAGUAUGUCAGUACUUAAGAGAUCAUUUUUGUGUAAACUAUUAUAAAGGAAAGUUUUAUGAAUACACGUUUAUGUAAGGUAUAAUUAUCAAUUACAAAAUGGAUUUUACAUAUGUUAUAUUUGUAUAAUAGUUUGAAGUCCCUGUUUGAGUAACAAUAAAUGAAUUUUUUUUCUUAAAUUUGAUUUAGAUCACCCAUUCUCUGAAUAAAAUAUAAAUAUUAUGAAAGUAAAUUGAAAUUUUAAGGCAUCAUUGUAAUAUUUUUAAAUUGAAAUAACAAAUUUUGUUUGGUAUAAAUUUUAAGUCAAUUAAAAUUAAUUUUUUGCCAGUUAUUUCAAUAUUUUAGAAGUUAUUUUUGAAUUCUUCUCUCAUAUGUAGGAUUUACUCUAUUUUUAAUGGUAAAAAAAUUAAUUAUCAAAAUUUUCACUAAACAAGUUCUUAUUAUUUACCAUGUUUAGCAUGUUUUAUGCUAUAAAUCGUCAUGUUCUAAAAUAAAAGGGAAGAGAAUAAAUAAAGAGUUAAAAUUUAAUUAUGUAUUAUUAUGAACGAAUGUUAUAUAUUUAUGGAGUUCAAAAAAAGAGUUACAAUUAGAAUAAGAUAGAUCUUUUAAACUAUAGAUAAGAUUUAUCCAUGUAUCAUAAUAAUAUUAAAUAAUCAUCAAUAAUUAUUUUAAACAAAAGAAAAAGAAUACAAUUAUUUUAAAGUAUCAAAAAUAAAUGUUGUUUCAAUAAAAUUUUGCUAGGAAAAUUCAGUGGGUUAAAAUUUAAGCUAAGAAGAAAAAGUAUAGCUACUCCUUCUGAUGUUGAUCAAUGGAAAAUUUUGAUUCAACGCGUUCUAAUUUCAUGAAUUAAUUUCUUGAAUGUAGAUGUUGGCAGUGUUUUUGUAAAUAAAUCGGUCAUAUUGUCACUUGAACUAAUUUGUUGAAAAAAGUAUACCUAGUCCUUUUGAUGUUGAUCCCGGGAAAUUUUUGAUUCGACGCGUUCUAAUUUCAUGAAUUAAUUUCUUGAAUGUAGAUGUUGACAGUGUUUUUGUAAAUAAAUCGGUCAUAUUGUCACUUGAACGAAUUUGUUUAUGUGUAUAAAGAAUUUUGAAAAAAAUAUGUUAUGUCCUAUCACUUUUGAUAUAGUCUUCUCUAAGUUGUGCAAUAUAAUCUGUAUCGUUUUUAUACAAACUUGUUGGAUUAUCUUUUGUUAAAAUUAAUUCGCAUGAUACUUGGAUGUGAUGGGUUAUGUUUCUCAACCACACAUAUUCUUUGCUUGUUUCAUAAAUUGUAAUUAUUUCAAAAUGAAUUGAAGAUGUAGCUGUCAAAGAUUGUUUCACAGAUCUUUAUGAUAUAGUCGUUCCUCCACGUGUAAAUACAUAACCUGUUUGUGAUUUAGCCUUAUGUGGGUCAGAUAAAUAAUCUACAUUUGCAUGUCCCAUUAAAACAGGUCUCGACUUUUGAGAAUAAAAUAAUCUCAAAUCAAUAGUACCUUUUAGGUAACGAAAAAUAUAUUUAACAUCAUUUCAAUGUCUUUGAGUUGGUUUAGAGUUAUAUUUUGUAAGGAGAUUUAUAGAAAAAGCUAUUUCUGGUCGAG
RNAcentral lists this long non-coding RNA (3051 nucleotides) under Olea europaea subsp. europaea. The record is from RNAcentral. Lineage: Eukaryota; Viridiplantae; Streptophyta; Magnoliopsida; Lamiales; Oleaceae.